AUUGAACGCUAACGGCGUGCUUAACACAUGCAAGUCGAACGGUAACGCGGGGCAACCUGGCGACGAGUGGCGAACGGGUGAGUAAUGUAUCGGAACGUGCCCAGUUGUGGGGGAUAACUGCUCGAAAGAGCAGCUAAUACCGCAUACGACCUGAGGGUGAAAGCGGGGGAUCGCAAGACCUCGCGCAAUUGGAGCGGCCGAUAUCAGAUUAGGUAGUUGAUGGGGUAAAGGCUCACCAAGCCAACGAUCUGUAGCUGGUCUGAGAGGACGACCAGCCACACUGGGACUGAGACACGGCCCAGACUCCUACGGGAGGCAGCAGUGGGGAAUUUUGGACAAUGGACGCAAGUCUGAUCCAGCCAUGCCGCGUGCGGGAAGAAGGCCUUCGGGUUGUAAACCGCUUUUGUCAGGGAAGAAACGCUCUGGGUUAAUACCUCGGGGUAAUGACGGUACCUGAAGAAUAAGCACCGGCUAACUACGUGCCAGCAGCCGCGGUAA
Molecule: ribosomal RNA, 498 nt
Filed under: uncultured bacterium
Lineage: Bacteria
Description: partial 16S ribosomal RNA
Rfam family: Bacterial small subunit ribosomal RNA
Source: RNAcentral